GAAAUUCUCAAGGUAUCUAAUCUGAUAGCAAAUACUCUUCUUUUAAUGCUUUCUAACUUACCAAUGAAGAAAAGCAGCUGCUCGUGGAAAUGUUCAAAUCUAACAGGUUUAUUAAUGGGCCUACUAUGACCUGAUAGAGGGGCUAUCAUUUUGAUAAUCAAAUAAACACAAGUUUCAGCUCUUACAUUCUGAGGGAAAUUUCCAUCAGAUCAUUUCCAGUCCUUUCUCAGGCACUGACUUUUACAUCACCAUGUGUCACUGAGACAUAAUCGUUAAAUUUAGUGUGUCACCUAGUACGUGCUAUUUAUUGGUUACACAUCUGAUAGUUCUUGCUCUAGGGAAUAUUUAAUUCCUCAAAUUCACAGCCAAAAAGCCUCCUACUUUGCCAAUAGGACUCUGACUUUUUUUUUCUUGGGAAACAACCCAACUUUGUGUAACAGAAUGAUUUUCCUCCCAACUUUGAGCAAGACUCCCAGACAAUGUAAUCUCUGUUUGUUACUUAGCAGCACCAAGGUCAGCAUCCCAAGUGCCUGGGUAUUCAGGCUUUUGUUUCUGUUGGGUGGCUUGAAGGGGAUGUUGAAAUGUGGUGUUUUGUUCAGAGAUUGUGUUAACACUUUUCACUAAUUAAGGUCUAAGAGCUUGAAAUCCUUGCAUUUCAAUUCAUCUGGUGGAAAGGAAACUCAAGACAUGGGCCGUCUGUUCUUAACCUCUAUCGAGGGCUCUCUCUCAAGAAGUAGCACUGGAUAUGGUGCAGACGAAUUUGGGUUUGGUGUGCUGUCUCUGGUUUUAGGGAUGCCCCACAUUGGUCCUUUCACUUAUACAGAGGAACAUGGUUUCUUAGUUAUUGAGAAGCCAGAAAACAGCCCUGGUGUGUCUGCCUGAAUGAGAAGGGCUGGGGAACUAAAGAGAAUGGGAUCCCUGGGGUUGCUGAGGCUGCCAAGGACCUGGACAUCCAAAACAAGAUGGAUUUCUACACAGAGUUGCUAAAGAUACCAUAAAGAACCAAGAAGGAAUAAGAAGGGGAAGGUAGAGGUCAGAGAUGUACGCAGGAUCUGGCCAGAAAGAGGCUUCUGGGUGGGGCUGGAAGAUGCAGGGGCUUAGAAAAAGCAGGGGCGGCCGGGUGCGGUGGCUCACGCCUGUAAUCCCAGCACUUUGGGAGGCCGAGGCAGGCGGAUCACAAGGUCAAGAGAUCAGGACCAUUCUAGCCAACAUGGUGAAACCCCAUCUCUACUAAAAAUACAAAAAUUAGCUGGGCAUGGUGGCAUGCACCUGUAGUUCCAGCUACUCAGGAGGCUGAGGAAGGAGAAUCGCUUGAACCUGGGAGGUGGAGGUUGCAGUGAGCCAAGAUCCUCCACUGCACUCCAGCCUGGCGACGGAGUGAGUGAGACUCCAUCUUAAAAAAAAAAAAAAAAAAAAAAAAGGAAAAAGAAAAAAAGAAAAGGCAGGGGCUUAGAAAAAGCACUAGAAGGGGACUGAAUGAGGACCAGGACUGCCUGAGUUAUAGCAGAUGCCUGCUAUGCAAGGACUAAUGCAUGGGCCAGGGGGACAGCCCUAGCAAAGUGUCUGGGCACAGUUCUAUGUAUCUAGGUGAUUCCCAUCCCCAAGUGGUCUGGAUUGAUGAGAUUCUGUAUACAUGAAAUAUGAAAUGGGGGUGCUGACCAACUAGUCCAUAUUUCCAACUACAGGACUGGCUGACAGCAGGUGAGAAAUAACAAGCACUGAAAGGCCAAGAGAAAUGUCAUAUACGAGAACCUAUUACCAAGUUGUCAAGGCUCUUCUGAUCUAAGGAUUUUUGACAACAGAUGGCUAACCAUUACUCAGAUAGGUGUUUUGAGACAGGAGACUGAAGGAAUUACUAUUCAAGGCCUUUCCCUUGUGAGUCUACAGACUAUGAAAAUAACAUCUAAAUCACUUCAUUUAAAAAAUAUUCAGUUGUAUCUUUUCAUACAACAACAAACUCUUCUUGAUUCCACUCUCCUUUUAAUUUUAACAAAACAUAAAAUCACAGCUCAUCUGGAAAGUAUGUCAUCAGAAAGGAUGCAACGCAUAUGCCCAAGGUUCAGGACUGCCUUUGCCAAUGACAGUGACAAAUGAAGUGAAUACUGCAUGAGCGUCACACUGUUGGGGGAGGCAAAGGAGAUGCCAGCCUGUACCUACUGUUCCACUGAAGAAAGACCAUAAACACAAGGAUAUAGAUUUAGUGAUCAAAGUUUCAAACAUUGCUCAGUGGAAGGCCUGGAAAACCAUGUGGGGCUUACCACAUGGAAAAAAGAUAGUAGCUGCAACUCAUACAUGUUUACUUGCUGCUUUCCACACUGUAGUCAGUCAGCAAAUAUUUAUGGAAAUGAAUGAACAUAUGAAAACUAUAGCCAUCACAGAGGUGUACUAUAAACCAAUGUCAUGUUUUUGUAAAGGCCGGAAUGAAAGAACCACCUGGAAUCCGACUCAUGGUGCUAAUGCUGAACUUAUUUGGCACAAGUUAUUUAGAUUCAAAAAGGCCACCCCAAGAGCACUCUCUUUCAGUUUGAGCAGAACUCCUGAAAAUCAUACUAGCUACCUUUCAUUGUGUUCUUAUUAUGAGCAGGAUAUUGGGAUAAAGAACACUGGUUUCUCUCAUUUAAUUCCAACAGCAGUCUGGUGGCUCAGGAGCUAUUAGGAUUUUUUUUGGAUCGAUAAGGAGACUGAGGGUCAAAGAGGUGACGUCACUUGCCCAGGGUCAUAGCACCAGGAAGCAGGAGAGUUAGGCUUUACAUACAGCAUGGCUGGUCACUCUGGCUCAUGACUUUAAUUCCGGAAUUUUGGGAGGCAGAGGUGGGAGGAUCACUUGAACCCAGGAGUUUGAGACCUGCCUGGGCAACAUGACAAGACCCCAUCUCUACAAAAAAAAAAAAAAGAAAAAAGAAAAAGAAAAAUUAGCUGGGCAUGGUGAUGCACAGCUGUUGUUCCAACUGCUUGGGCAACUGAGUUAGGAGCAUUGAUUGAGCCUAGGGGUUUGGGGUUAGUGAGCUAUGACUGUGCUACUGCACUCCAGCCUGGUUGACAGGGCAAGACACACACACACACCGCCCCCCUCCCCACACACACCCCCCAAACACUUUAAUCCUUAAGCUACACUGGAAAAAUGGCCUGGUUAAGACAACCAGUUGCUCACCUCUACUUACCCAUGGCAACAACAGAAAGCAAGGACCUCAGGAAAUGUCUCUUAAGACUUUUAGAGUUGCCUGAUUCCUCAGUCUCCCACGAAGAGAGUAGCUACGCAAUGUUAAUAGCUCUGACUUUAAUGCCUUUUCUCACAACACCUUUAGUGCCUGUGAAGAAAGACACUACAAAAAGCAAACAUACAAUGCCAUAAAUAAAGGGCCACAUUUCCCCUUGACUGAAGCUACCCUACUUUUCUCUUGGACAUUUUUCAGGGUUUAUUAACUCGUUGAGGCCUGCCAGAUGCCACAUAGUAAAUUACUAUUUCCAUUGACGGGUGAAUGCUCUUUACAUGGUCAAGAAGGGAAGGCUGCAGGUUGUAAAUUUUGGCCCCCUGGCAAUUCACCAAGGAAAAAUCUCUUGAAUGCUCAAUCUGCAGGGCAUCUCAAAGAUUAUUCUGUCCAUCUAUUUAUUUUACAAAGUCAAGACUAGAGAAAAGGAGAGAUGUUGUGCCCAAGGUCACACAGCAGGGAAGGAGAAAAUGCAGGCUGAAGAAGCUUCUGUCCCUAGCACAGAAUGCUAUUUGGCUCCAGUCGCAAUGGGGGCUUGGGGCUAGGUUAUGGUGUUGUUCAAAAACCACAGCUAACCACGCACUCUGAUUCUUUCUCACCCCCAAGCAAGAGUGUAACAACCUCUUGUUCCAAAGCACCAGCGAAGAGCAAAUUCCAAGGGGUGCUUGGGUGCUGCCAACACAGGAAAUGGCAGCUGGGGUGGUGGGGAGGGUGCUUGUCUUCAUUUUGCUCUAAAAUGUUGCAAAGGUUUGAGAGUCAGACAGGCCUGGGCUGGAAUCCUACCCUACCUGUCAUUUUACCAAGGUGCCACUAGGGGCAAGUGACUUCACCUCUCUCAGCUCAGAUUUGUUCUCUGUAAGAUGGGAGAAUAGUAGUAUCUGUACCCAAUAUCACUGUGUUACAAUUAAAUGAGACAAUGCAUGCAAAGCUCUUUGUGUUUCAGCCAGACAGCAUACAAAUGGUACAUUUUUUUUUGCAUCAUUACUACUAUUAUUUCUAUUCAGUGGACCCUUUCAGAAUAUCUCUUAACACGAAGUUUAAAAGGUGAGUUUAAAAAAAUUUUGUUAACUAAUGGAGUCUAACAUUCUAACAGAGGCAUUGAUAGGUAAAGGUAGGACUUUGGCAAGAUCUCAUCCCUGUGAAUGGGCAAAGUGCUUUUCUUUCCAAAGGUCCCAGAGAAAUCAAUCCACAGAGCAGUUAUAUACGUUGAAGAUUCCUUCUGUAGUGCCCUUUUCUCUCUUAGAGACUAUUACUUACCAGUAUUGUCUCUUCUCACCAGAGUAAUGAGAGGAAAGAUGCUAUAUCUGAAUGCCACAUCCUUUUCUACUCCAUCAUUCCCUGCUUACACUUAGGUUUUCUCAAGAACUCCUGCGUUUCUCCCUUGUCUUUUGUUAUGCCAUUUCUUUAAAUGUCCUGAGCCACAGAAGCAGCGUCAAUGAUAACCAUUACAGAAUCCACAGUCACUCACUUCCCUGCCACGCCCUGAUCUGCUGUGAGAGUUGUCACAGUCCUUUGUCAAAAAACAUAUCUCCUUAUUGGCAAUGAACUCACUUAGGGGAGGUUUUACAGGCUUCUCACAAAACAAGAAUGGCUCUGAACAGUGGCAGCGACAACCAAAAUAUUGAGGAAAAAUGGAGAGAAAGCUUUACCAGGAAACAAGGGCUGUGACUUCAGGGCGUAAAGCCAGUGUUGACAAGGCCUGCCUGAUGGCUGUUUAUGUCUGGGACCACCCUGGCACUUAUUACCAUGAAAAGGAGCUGACAGCGCCUGAGAUUGGCAGGGAACACCAAGGAAGAAAGCGGAUGUGGGAGUCACGGUCAUCCCAGCCGGAUGGGGCAUUAGGCCAUCCUCCCAUCCCCACUGCCCCCCAACACUCCAGCCUUUGCAAUGCUACAAAGGUCUAAGAAAAGGAACCAAGAUUCACAUGUCAACUCUUGGAGCACAGUCGAAGGCUGCUGUCAAUAUGAGAACCAAGUAGGUGGCCCUGCAUAUGCUUAGUAAAGGAGAUGGCAGGGCCAGGCAAAUAAAGGGAGACAACGAGGGGCUCACAUCUUCCACUCCCACCCCAUCGCCCCCAGGAAUAUGGGGGACAGGGCUCUCCAGUUCCCCAACCUUCGAUCUCACAAUGUAACAACUUCAUAUUAGAGGGGAAAAUAAAUUUUAACAUUAAAUAUAGCAGUAUAUGAAAUUAGUUAUGCAAGCUAUGAAACCCAAAUUAGGGCUCUUUUUGCUCUGCAAGAGUGGAAAUAUUUUACCGUUGUCUUCCCCAUCAAGAAAGAAACAAAAACCAAGGAAAUCUGCAAAUGUAGCACCUGGUGAAUUCUAUCGUGGCUAUAUCCAGGGGUACCCUGGGGAACUGAUGACAAUAAUCACCAGGCAGUGUUACCCCUCAUGUGGGUAACAGGGCUCUAUUACCCUGUUGAUUCCUUAUUCCCAAACACACUGCCUGUUUUUGUAGGACUUCUUUUCCCUUUCAAGGUUUACCUGGUGAUUAUUUGUAACCUGACAUCAGCAGAAUAAUGAUGUUCACAUUUUUCAGGAAAGAGGCGAAGAUAAUACAAGGACCCACUCUAUGCCUGCCAUGGGAUUAUUUAUGAAAGCUGUCUGGAAGACAGGGAGGGCGGUGGGUGAGAAAUUUGUUCCAGAGAUUCACAGUCUGGUGAGACAAGUUUGAGAUCUCAUAUUUUCAGCUCAUCCUUGAAAACCUUUCUUCGAUUUGACUGACCUUGAUGGCUCCCUGGAAUCUCACCUACAUUUUAUGGGAAAUUCAACUCUCCAGAGAGAAGAGCUUUCAGAUAGCUACGGGACUUGCAACUAUGACUUUCAGCUUUCGCUUUUGAAUGAGGCUCCAAAUGUCUCAAUGGUGGCACUAUUUCCAGAUUUGGGGUAAGCCAAUUCUUUGUUGUUGGGGUUGUGCUGUGCAUUGUAGACUAUUAAGCAGCAUUCCUGGCCUCUACCCACUAGAUGCCCAGAGCACCUGCAUCCCCAUCGUAACAACCAAAACUGUCUCCAGACAUUGCCAAAUGUCCACCGCAGGCUAAAAUCACCUCCCAAUUGAGAACUAUUGAAUUAUACUAAGGUUCUCAGAAAGUCCUUCAGCAAGUUCUCAAAACUGAAUUGAUUCAAAUUGACUUGGUGAGGUCAGGGCACACAGAGAUUCUUUGUUGAUGGGAGUUGUAAAGGGCCUGCUGAACAUCUGCUCAAUGAAGUCAGGGGCUCCAGCUAAAAGGGUUGGGAAGCCCCCAUCUAUAGAAAACGUGCCGUGUACAACGUGAAAUCAAUUCCCAUGCACAACAAUGAAGAUCCCAAUUACAAUGAACAAACACGUUCUUCUGAACAGCACUUCCUCCCUGACAUUAUGUCCAUGACCCUGCACCCUGCGGGGGGCUCGGAUAUGUUACGUCUGAUUCAAAGACAACCAAAAAGAAGGAAAUAAUGAUUUCACCAAGAAAGGACACAUACCAAGGCAGGAAUAGAGCCCUGCAAAGCUAAUCUGCUCAACCUUCACCUACUGGGUUCAAUGAAUAUGAAAAGCUGCCUUCCUGAAACUUUUCCUUCAAAGAGGGAAUGAUCUCCUGGAAUUCAAGCUUCUACAGGGUGGCUACCUGGUGUUUUCCACUUUUGCCGUCUCCUAAAAAGCAUCAAUCAAGCCUUGCCCUUUCAACCCACUGAACACAUAAACAUGCUUUCUCCUUAACUGAACUUAUGGCCACGAUGAACUUGAACUCUGAGAUUCACAGAGGAGAGUUUGUUUUAACAGCUGCUUUUACAAUGAAGCCCUGGAGUUACUACUCUCAAGACCCCUGGUUCUGAUAGGCCAUCUUUUCACUGUCCUCUGCAUUUUCUAAUGCCCAGCUGUCAAGGAACACCCACUGAAGUUUUCCAAAACAAAGGCACGAAACACAAGAAAGGCAAGAGAAUGCUAAUCACCAGAGGCAUGGGCAUCCUAUGGGGGAACCCCUUACAUGUGGAAUACGGUUUUUCUCCCCAAUUUAUUUUUAUAAAUUUAUUGAUUUCUUUGCCAGUUUGUUAUUAAUUGUUAGAGAUGUCCUGUUGCCUGAGGUUGCCCUGUCCGAUAUGGUAGCCACCAGCGACAGGUAGCUAUUUAGAGUAAUUAAAAAAUUACAUUAAAAAUGCAGUUUCCUUGUCACUUAACCAUGUUUCAAGUGCUCAGUAUUAACCACAUGUGACUAGUGGCUUCCAUAAAGGAAGGCAAAAAUAGAGAACAUUUACAUCGCUGCAGAAAGCUACCAGAUUCUUUUGGCCAAGGCAUAAGCUCUUUCUCAUAAGAGAAAGGGGAUGCAGAUCUUGCUAAGAGUGAUGGAUUUCUGGGUUCAGCCUACAUGAGUCAUCUUCCAUACUACCCCUGGACAUGCUUUCCUUGGCUGCCAAUUUUCUAUUUUAUAAAUUUCAGGAAAGAGAGAUUAUGGUUGUUAAAACCAUUCAUGACACUGAUCCCACUUUAGAGAAAACAACAGCAACAAGCAAAGAAGAUGGUGUGGAGAUCCGCACAUUCCACAUCUUUUAAUUGGUACCCAUUAAAUAACAAAGGGAAAAAGUACCCUCAGACCACAACUCUCCACCUUGUGUGGAGGCCAAGGACCCAGCAGGGAGAAGGCAGAAGAUUAGGUUCUCCACUCAUCCUGGCUCUCAGACCACUGAGCUCACAUUUGGGUUCUAAUGGAAUGGUGAUUGGAAGCAUAUUCUCCAAUAGGAGGUUUUUAAAAGUUCUGUGCCAUCAGCCAGGCAGCAUCUGUCAUUUAAAAUGACUGGCCAGUUGCACAUUUAAAAGCAAAGAUAAAAUUGCUAAUUUAUACUUACUGAAUAAACAUCAGCAGUAUCCAUGAAGGUACCUACCCUAAUAGCAAGUUGUAUUUUUAUUUUUAUGGUGGUGGCGAAGCUGCCAGGAAAACCAAAGCAUCAGUUCUUUAAUUACAUUUGUUUAGUAUUGAUUUAAUACUAAAAUUUCUCUUGCUCCCUUAGAACAAAGAGCUCUAACUUGUACACUGCUGUAUCCUUAGCACCUGGAACAGUCCCUGGCCUACAGUAGGCACUUAGAAAGUAUUUGUUAAAAAUUGAUUUUUUUUUUUAAAGAAACAACCCAGAGUUUUUUUAUUCUGCCCCAACCCCCAACCCCUGGCAUUAAAAUAAAUCUUCCUCAACUGCCAUCACUAAUCGCCAGGAUUCCCUCCUAGCCAAUUAUGCUUGGACUCAACCUCUACCUCCCACUCCACAUUCCAAAGUUUCUAUUUCUUUCCAUUCCAGAAGGGCAACUCCACAACAGGAGUGAGGGAGAGGACCUGGACUCCUCCUCAGAGUCCAAUAACACUCCUAACCCUGCUCCCCCAACCUGUGGACUUUUUAAAUCCAUGAAAAUAGAAACUGUCAAGCUACCACAAAAUAGCAUCAGAAGGCAGGAUCAGUCUUUCAUAGGCAUACAAUCUCUGUAAAUACUGAAAAAAGAUUAUUAAAAGCCUGCUAAGUUUUGUCUCCAGUGAAAUAGAUGCAGGCAAGUAUUUUGAUUGUUCUGAACACAUUAGAGAUGAGUGCUACACAGAACUAAGGUAAACUUUGUAAAUUCAUAUGUCAUAACACUUUGUUCCACAAAAAACUAUCUUAUUUUUUAUACUCCAUACUGAUACAGCCAAAUAAUGUGGCUCUUAUUUUCUAAAGAUGCCAGCAAUAUGUUUAAACAUGUCUUCAUUGUAGUAAAAGUAUCAUAUUUAUAAAAAAUACAUAUGCAUUUAAUGUGAUAUUCCUUAUAGUCAAAAUCUUGAUAUCAUCCUCCUAAUCUGGCUAGGAAUGUAUCUGCAAAAUGAAAGAGAGGAAUAUUUUGCCAUUCCCUAAACAACAGUUGUUUGAAGCUUUUGUAAUUGCUGGUUAUGGGAAUUUACCAAUAACAGGAAUGAAUUUGGAUUUUCUUUUGCUGGAAUCAAAUGGACAAUGUCAUAAUUAGCUAAAUAAUGUUGAGGCUAAAUGAAGUUUGAGUUUUAGGCACAUCCUUUAUGGAAUAUAAACAGGAACCUAAAAGUUCAUUCUGAACAUAGGGUGUUUCUUUCUGCCAAAACAAGAUUAAUAGUCAGUACCCUAACGACGAGGUCCUAUCACUGAAGUAGAUUAUCGGCUAGUCAAAUGGGUUCCUAACAGCACCUCCCUCAUGGGUUAAAAGAAGAGGGUUAAUGUGAUGUGUAUUUGCUUAAUUUGGCUUGUUAUACAGUAAACACACAGCAAACGUUAGCUAUUGUUAUCUUCAUUUCCUUUGGAGAAGUUAUCUUAUUUCUCACCUUAUUAAAAAUAAACCCUAACUCAUACAGGGACCCUCCUUACCUUGGUCCUUUCACCCAUGAAUACCAUAAUAACCUAUACUGCAAAAAGGAGGCUCAGGAGGAGGAUGAGGUAUCAAUAGGCCUCCGGGUCAUUUUUAGGAUUUAGGUAUUUUUUGAAAAGGGUAGGCUCUCUUGAAACUUCCAAGGUAGUUGUUGUAGUAUUUUAUUUUCCUUUAAUAAGAAAUGCUUUCUGAAAUGUAUUGCAGUGAACAAAUAACAAAAUUGACAAAUGCUGUAAGCCUUUUGCAGUUAUCUGAACACAAAGAAUAAAGUGUAAUC
RNAcentral lists this long non-coding RNA (9814 nucleotides) under Pan troglodytes (chimpanzee). RNAcentral describes it as "long non-coding RNA NONPTRT011431". The record is from RNAcentral. Lineage: Eukaryota; Metazoa; Chordata; Mammalia; Primates; Hominidae.